This 1551-nucleotide ribosomal RNA is filed under the name Salmonella enterica subsp. enterica serovar London. RNAcentral describes it as "bacterial SSU rRNA". It matches the Rfam family "Bacterial small subunit ribosomal RNA". The record is from RNAcentral. Lineage: Bacteria; Pseudomonadati; Pseudomonadota; Gammaproteobacteria; Enterobacterales; Enterobacteriaceae.
AAAUUGAAGAGUUUGAUCAUGGCUCAGAUUGAACGCUGGCGGCAGGCCUAACACAUGCAAGUCGAACGGUAACAGGAAGCAGCUUGCUGCUUCGCUGACGAGUGGCGGACGGGUGAGUAAUGUCUGGGAAACUGCCUGAUGGAGGGGGAUAACUACUGGAAACGGUGGCUAAUACCGCAUAACGUCGCAAGACCAAAGAGGGGGACCUUCGGGCCUCUUGCCAUCAGAUGUGCCCAGAUGGGAUUAGCUAGUUGGUGAGGUAACGGCUCACCAAGGCGACGAUCCCUAGCUGGUCUGAGAGGAUGACCAGCCACACUGGAACUGAGACACGGUCCAGACUCCUACGGGAGGCAGCAGUGGGGAAUAUUGCACAAUGGGCGCAAGCCUGAUGCAGCCAUGCCGCGUGUAUGAAGAAGGCCUUCGGGUUGUAAAGUACUUUCAGCGGGGAGGAAGGUGUUGUGGUUAAUAACCACAGCAAUUGACGUUACCCGCAGAAGAAGCACCGGCUAACUCCGUGCCAGCAGCCGCGGUAAUACGGAGGGUGCAAGCGUUAAUCGGAAUUACUGGGCGUAAAGCGCACGCAGGCGGUCUGUCAAGUCGGAUGUGAAAUCCCCGGGCUCAACCUGGGAACUGCAUUCGAAACUGGCAGGCUUGAGUCUUGUAGAGGGGGUAGAAUUCCAGGUGUAGCGGUGAAAUGCGUAGAGAUCUGGAGGAAUACCGGUGGCGAAGGCGGCCCCCUGGACAAAGACUGACGCUCAGGUGCGAAAGCGUGGGGAGCAAACAGGAUUAGAUACCCUGGUAGUCCACGCCGUAAACGAUGUCUACUUGGAGGUUGUGCCCUUGAGGCGUGGCUUCCGGAGCUAACGCGUUAAGUAGACCGCCUGGGGAGUACGGCCGCAAGGUUAAAACUCAAAUGAAUUGACGGGGGCCCGCACAAGCGGUGGAGCAUGUGGUUUAAUUCGAUGCAACGCGAAGAACCUUACCUGGUCUUGACAUCCACAGAAGAAUCCAGAGAUGGAUUUGUGCCUUCGGGAACUGUGAGACAGGUGCUGCAUGGCUGUCGUCAGCUCGUGUUGUGAAAUGUUGGGUUAAGUCCCGCAACGAGCGCAACCCUUAUCCUUUGUUGCCAGCGGUUAGGCCGGGAACUCAAAGGAGACUGCCAGUGAUAAACUGGAGGAAGGUGGGGAUGACGUCAAGUCAUCAUGGCCCUUACGACCAGGGCUACACACGUGCUACAAUGGCGCAUACAAAGAGAAGCGACCUCGCGAGAGCAAGCGGACCUCAUAAAGUGCGUCGUAGUCCGGAUUGGAGUCUGCAACUCGACUCCAUGAAGUCGGAAUCGCUAGUAAUCGUGGAUCAGAAUGCCACGGUGAAUACGUUCCCGGGCCUUGUACACACCGCCCGUCACACCAUGGGAGUGGGUUGCAAAAGAAGUAGGUAGCUUAACCUUCGGGAGGGCGCUUACCACUUUGUGAUUCAUGACUGGGGUGAAGUCGUAACAAGGUAACCGUAGGGGAACCUGCGGUUGGAUCACCUCCUUACCUUAAAGAA